UGACGAUUGUGACUGAGUGGCGGACGGGUGAGUAACGCGUGGGUAGCCUGCCUUGUACAGGGGGACAACAGUUGGAAACGACUGCUAAUACCGCAUAAGCGCACAGUACCGCAUGGUACAGUGUGAAAAGAUUUUUUCGGUACAAGAUGGACCCGCGUCUGAUUAGGCUAGGUUGGUGAGGUAACGGCCACCAAGGCGACGAUCAGUAGCCGACCUGAGAGGGUGACCGGCCACAUUCGGGACUGAGACACGGCCCAAACUCCUACGGGAGGCAGCAGUGGGGAAUAUUGCACAAUGGGCGAAAGCCUGAUGCAGCGAACCGCCGCGUGAGCGAAGAAGUAUUUCGGUAUGUAAAGCUCUAUCAGCAGGGAAGAUAAUGACGGUACCUGACUAAGAAGCACCGGCUAAAUACGUGCCAGCAGCGGC
RNAcentral lists this ribosomal RNA (426 nucleotides) under uncultured bacterium. RNAcentral's name for it is "bacterial SSU rRNA". It matches the Rfam family "Bacterial small subunit ribosomal RNA", at positions 79 to 518 of the family's 1533-position model. The record is from RNAcentral.